CCUACGGGUGGCAGCAGUGGGGAAUAUUGGGCAAUGGGCGCAAGCCUGACCCAGCAACGCCGCGUGAAGGAAGAAGGCUUUCGGGUUGUAAACUUCUUUUAAGAGGGAAGAGCAGAAGACGGUACCUCUUGAAUAAGCCACGGCUAACUACGUGCCAGAAGCCCCGGUAAUACGUAGGUGGCAAGCGUUGUCCGGAUUUACUGGGUGUAAAGGGCGUGCAGCCGGGAAGACAGGUCAGAUGUGAAAUCCCGCGGCUAAACCGGUGAACUGCAUUUGAAACUGUUUUGCUUGAGUACCGGAGAGGUCAUCGGAAUGCGUGGUGUAGCGGUGAAAUGCGUAGAUAUGAGGAAGAACACCAGUGGCGAAGGCGGAUGACUGGACGGCAACUGACGGUGAGGCGCGAAAGCGUGGGGAGCAAACAGGAUUAGAUACCCGGGUAGUC
RNAcentral lists this ribosomal RNA (442 nucleotides) under uncultured bacterium. Its description in RNAcentral is "partial 16S ribosomal RNA". It matches the Rfam family "Bacterial small subunit ribosomal RNA", at positions 338 to 795 of the family's 1533-position model. The record is from RNAcentral.